AUUGAACGCUGGCGGAAUGCUUUACACAUGCAAGUCGAACGGCAGCACGGACUUCGGUCUGGUGGCGAGUGGCGAACGGGUGAGUAAUGUAUCGGAACGUGCCCAGUCGUGGGGGAUAACGUAGUGAAAAUUACGCUAAUACCGCAUACGAUCUAUGAAUGAAAGCGGGGGAUCGCAAGACCUCGCGCGAUUGGAGCGGCCGAAAUCAGAUUAGGUAGUUGGUGGGGUAAAGGCCCACCAAGCCAACGAUCUGUAGCUGGUCUGAGAGGAUGACCAGCCACACUGGAACUGAGACACGGUCCAGACUGCUACGGGAGGCAGCAGUGGGGAAUUUUGGACAAUGGGCGAAAGCCUGAUCCAGCCAUUCCGCGUGCAGGAUGAAGGCCCUCGGGUUGUAAACUGCUUUUGUACAGAACGAAAAGGUUUCUACUAAUACUAGGAGCUCAUGACGGUACUGUAAGAAUAAGCACCGGCUAACUACGUGCCAGCCGCCGCGGUAA
RNAcentral lists this ribosomal RNA (500 nucleotides) under uncultured bacterium. RNAcentral's name for it is "partial 16S ribosomal RNA". It matches the Rfam family "Bacterial small subunit ribosomal RNA", at positions 30 to 523 of the family's 1533-position model. The record is from RNAcentral.